This 87-nucleotide transfer RNA is filed under the name Natronobacterium gregoryi. RNAcentral describes it as "tRNA_Arg_CCG". It matches the Rfam family "tRNA". From Rfam's summary of the family: Transfer RNA (tRNA) molecules are approximately 80 nucleotides in length. Their secondary structure includes four short double-helical elements and three loops (D, anti-codon, and T loops). Further hydrogen bonds mediate the characteristic L-shaped molecular structure. tRNAs have two regions of fundamental functional importance: the anti-codon, which is responsible for specific mRNA codon recognition, and the 3' end, to which the tRNAs corresponding amino acid is attached (by aminoacyl-tRNA synthetases). tRNAs cope with the degeneracy of the genetic code in two manners: having more than one tRNA (with a specific anti-codon) for a particular amino acid; and 'wobble' base-pairing, i.e. permitting non-standard base-pairing at the 3rd anti-codon position. The record is from RNAcentral. Lineage: Archaea; Methanobacteriati; Methanobacteriota; Halobacteria; Halobacteriales; Natrialbaceae. RNAcentral also lists the same sequence under 1 other name.
GGAAGGGUCGCUCAGCGGUAGAGCACCGCGGUGCCUUCUGGCCCGCGGCGGCGUCAGCCUCGUGGCGUUCAAAUCCCACCCCUUCCG